RNAcentral lists this ribosomal RNA (292 nucleotides) under uncultured bacterium. Its description in RNAcentral is "partial 16S ribosomal RNA". The record is from RNAcentral.
GGACUACCGGGGUAUCUAAUCCCGUUCGCUCCCCAUGCUGUCGUGUCUGAGCGUCAGGUGUGCGCCAGGGCGCCGCCUUCGCCUCUGGGGUUCCUCCGGAUCUCUACGCAUUUCACCACUACACCCGGAAUUCCACGCCCCUCUCGCACCCUCUAGUCCAGCAGUCUGGCAUAACCCCUCCAGGUUAAGCCCGGAGAUUUCAUACACCACUUACUGCACCGCCUGCACACGCUUUACACCCAGUCAAUCCGGAUAACGCUCGCCACCUACGUUUUACCGCGGCUGCUGGCAC